RNAcentral lists this ribosomal RNA (526 nucleotides) under uncultured bacterium. RNAcentral describes it as "bacterial SSU rRNA". It matches the Rfam family "Bacterial small subunit ribosomal RNA", at positions 776 to 1301 of the family's 1533-position model. The record is from RNAcentral.
AAAUAGAUACCCCGGGUAGUCCACGCCGUAAACGAUGAGUGCUAAGUGUUAGAGGGUUUCCGCCCUUUAGUGCUGCAGCAAACGCAUUAAGCACUCCGCCUGGGGAGUACGGUCGCAAGACUGAGACUCAAAGGAAUUGACGGGGGCCCGCACAAGCGGUGGAGCAUGUGGUUUAAUUCGAAGCAACGCGAAGAACCUUACCAGGUCUUGACAUCCUCUGACAACCCUAGAGAUAGGGCUUCCCCUUCGGGGGCAGAGUGACAGGUGGUGCAUGGUUGUCGUCAGCUCGUGUCGUGAGAUGUUGGGUUAAGUCCCGCAACGAGCGCAACCCUUGAUCUUAGUUGCCAGCAUUCAGUUGGGCACUCUAAGGUGACUGCCGGUGACAAACCGGAGGAAGGUGGGGAUGACGUCAAAUCAUCAUGCCCCCUAUGACCUGGGCUACACACGUGCUACAAUGGGCAGAACAAAGGGCAGCGAAGCCGCGAGGCUAAGCCAAUCCCACAAAACCAUUCUCAGUUCGGAUUGC